RNAcentral lists this ribosomal RNA (465 nucleotides) under uncultured Lactobacillus sp. RNAcentral describes it as "bacterial SSU rRNA". It matches the Rfam family "Bacterial small subunit ribosomal RNA", at positions 338 to 795 of the family's 1533-position model. The record is from RNAcentral. Lineage: Bacteria; Bacillati; Bacillota; Bacilli; Lactobacillales; Lactobacillaceae.
CCUACGGGUGGCAGCAGUAGGGAAUCUUCCACAAUGGGCGCAAGCCUGAUGGAGCAACACCGCGUGAGUGAAGAAGGGUUUCGGCUCGUAAAGCUCUGUUGGUAAAGAAGAACACGUAUGAGAGUAACUGUUCAUACGUUGACGGUAUUUAACCAGCAAGUCACGGCGAACUACGUGCCAGCAGCCGCGGUAAUACGUAGGUGGCAAGCGUUAUCCGGGUUUAUUGGGCGUAAAGAGAGUGCAGGCGGUUUUCUAAGGCUGAUGUGAAAGCCUUCGGCUUAACCGGAGAAGUGCAUCGGAAACUGGAUAACUUGAGUGCAGAAGAGGGUAGUGGAACUCCAUGUGUAGCGGUGGAAUGCGUAGAUAUAUGGAAGAACACCAGUGGCGAAGGCGGCUACCUGGUCUGCAACUGACGCUGAGACUCGAAAGCAUGGGUAGCGAACAGGAUUAGAUACCCGUGUAGUC